RNAcentral lists this ribosomal RNA (383 nucleotides) under uncultured eukaryote. RNAcentral's name for it is "partial 18S ribosomal RNA". It matches the Rfam family "Eukaryotic small subunit ribosomal RNA", at positions 592 to 976 of the family's 1831-position model. The record is from RNAcentral.
CAAUAGCGUAUAUUAAAGUUGUUGCAGUUAAAAAGCUCGUAGUUGGAUUUCUGGUGGGAGCGAUCGGUCUGGCGCUUAGCGCGAGUACUUGCAUCGUCUCCGGCCAUCCUUGGGGAAAGUCUGUCUGGCAUUAAGUUGUCGGGCAGAGGAUCCUCAUCGUUUACUGUGAAAAAAUUAGAGUGUUCAAAGCAGGCUUAUGCCGUUGAAUAUAUUAGCAUGGAAUAAUAAGAUAGGACUUUGGUACUAUUUUGUUGGUUUGCGCACCAAAGUAAUGAUUAAUAGGGACAGUUGGGGGUAUUCGUAUCCCGUUGUCAGAGGUGAAAUUCUUGGAUUUACGGAAGACGAACUACUGCGAAAGCAUUUACCAAGGAUGUUUUCAUUAA